CAAAAAUGUAAACAGUCAAAAAAAGUUUUACCAAAAAGAUCUAUAACUUGAUGGCUGCAGAAAGGGAAACAUUGGUUAAAGAUUGCCUGUCAAAGUUCCUAAAAAAGCAUGAUUUACAUGAUAGCAUAGAUGCCAUUUGAUGAGAUAAUGUUGAGUUAUGUCAUCAGUAUCUUGGAAGAUUUAGGAGAUGACCAGAAUGCUGAGGAGAAUAUUGAUGUGGACCAGUUUACGGAGAUGAUGGAUGCAUACAUUCCUGGAUUAAGUAGCAUUGACAGGACUUCAGAUCCAUCCAUGUCGUAUGGCAUUUUUGUGAGAAGUGGAUAUUCAUGAAGGACCUGUAGUACAAAGUAUAUCACUGGAUUGAGCUCUUUGUCUAAGUUUAUUAUUUAAGUGCUUUGCUUUGAGCUCAGUUCAUUGUUAUGCAAUUCAUUCUUUGUGAA
Mytilus californianus (California mussel) is the source of this 440-nucleotide long non-coding RNA. RefSeq lists it as uncharacterized. The record is from RefSeq and is a predicted model, not a curated record. NCBI's taxonomy places the organism in Eukaryota, Metazoa, Mollusca, Bivalvia, Mytilida, Mytilidae. The transcript is spliced from 4 exons.